RNAcentral lists this ribosomal RNA (909 nucleotides) under fungal sp. TZ-2013. RNAcentral describes it as "eukaryotic LSU rRNA". The stretch from base 178 to 331 matches the Rfam family "5.8S ribosomal RNA". Lineage: Eukaryota; Fungi. The record is from RNAcentral.
GUGGCCUGAUGUAUACUCCAACCCAUGUGAACAUACCUCAUGUUGCCUCGGCAGGUCGUGCCUCCCUCGUAGGUCCUACCCUGUAGGCUCCUACCCGGAAGGCGCGGGUACCCCUGCCGGUGGCCCAGGAAACUCUGUCUCAUCGUUGAAUUCUGAACCUAUAACUAAAUAAGUUAAAACUUUCAACAACGGAUCUCUUGGUUCUGGCAUCGAUGAAGAACGCAGCGAAAUGCGAUAAGUAAUGUGAAUUGCAGAAUUCAGUGAAUCAUCGAAUCUUUGAACGCACAUUGCGCCCAUUAGUAUUCUAGUGGGCAUGCCUGUUCGAGCGUCAUUUCAACCCUUAAGCCCUUGUUGCUUAGCGUUGGGAGCCUACGGCACCGUAGCUCCCCAAAGUCAGUGGCGGAGCCGGCUCACACUCUAGACGUAGUAAUUUCUCACCUCGCCUAUAGUUGGACCGGUCCUCUGCCGUAAAACGCCCCAGUAUUUAAAAGGUUGACCUCGAAUCAGGUAGGAAUACCCGCUGAACUUAAGCAUAUCAAUAAGCGGAGGAACGAUCAUUAAAGAGUGUACUAGCUCCAUACCCAUGUGAAAUACGUCAGGAUGCCUCCGCAGGUGAGCGUCUCUAAUUUCCUCGGAUUCGCAUCCCCGUCUAGGGGGGGGUACCCGCCGGGGGGCCUGGAAAAUUGGGCUCACAGGACUUUUUCACAACAAUAAAAAGUUUAAACUUUAAUAGGAUCUCGGGAUUCUGAAAGAUGAACAAACCAGCAAAAGGGCUAACUAAGGUGCAAUUGAUAACUCUCAUGAAACACGAAACUUGACAGUAAAAGUGCAUUCAUUAUCUUCAGGAGCGGCACGGAAUUCAAGCUCUCUUACCCUAUGACUCCUGUGGUUGUCCUCUUGUGUGCAGCA